This is a non-coding RNA of Taeniopygia guttata (zebra finch), 2374 nucleotides long. Lineage: Eukaryota; Metazoa; Chordata; Aves; Passeriformes; Estrildidae. The record is from RefSeq and is a predicted model, not a curated record.
AGAGUUUUGAAUCACAGCAUUGGAAUUGCCACCAGAUUCAGAGCCCUAUAUCAGGACUCUGCAGGAUAUAUGGGAUUCUAUUUUCCACGUUUAUAAGAAACCUAACUACUUCAAAAGGACAUUGAAGACAAAUCCUUCCCUGUACCAAGUAUCCCUCCUCCCACUGGAUUCACACAGUCAACACUCUGGAAAGAGGAAGCCUGUGAAGGAUCACAAGGGGAUUUCAGUGGGGUACUCCCUCCUGCAGCCAAGGGCUUCUGUCAAGGACUGACUGGAACUCGGAACAACCUCGUGUAGUGGAAGAUUCCCUGCCCAUGGCAGGGGGAUGGAACUGGAGGAUCUUUAAGGUCCGUUCCAACCCAGGCCGUUCUGUGAUAAAGGAUUACUGAUUUCUGUGAAGGAUUGACAGCAGUGCCGGAGGGCAAUUCCACGCUUCCUGGUGCCUAGAGAAGGAGUCCUUCCCCUUUCCCCACAACCUGGUUUAGGGAGAAGCUGCAGUUUCAUUUGCCAUCAAAACGCGACCCCUGCUGGAGGACCGAGGAUGUGACUUCCAGUUAUUCAUAUGGACAACCCCACACACAGAGCGGCACAGAUGUGAUUAAUGUGAUAUGAUACAGCUGUCACUGGCUGCAGGCAAUCACAAACAACUAAAGGAAGGUUGGCUUAAAGAGACUUCUUAUUCACCCAACAGCAAAGGUAAAAAAAGGUUUUCUGGAUAUUGUUUUUUGGUUGGUUGGUUGUGGUUUUGGUUUUAUUUUUGGGUUUUUUCAUGCAUGGGAUUGUGUUUUACAGAAUUGCAGGAACCAGUGGGUUUUUCCUGCAGGGCUCUGUGUGUGUAAUUUUUUUUUUUUUUUUAACGGGGGUUCUGGAUAUCAAAUCUUCAGGCAGAAAGUUUUCCAAACACUUGUAGUAGCAGCAGUGGAUUUGAGGAUGUAGUUUGUUCUUAGAGUUAUACCAACCUGACAUUUUCCCAAAGGCAAAAUAUUUAAAUAAAAACAAAGAGAGUGUCAGGCUGGUAGGAGUUUUGUAAACAUAUGUCUAAUUUAGUGUGUAAGGAAAAUAAAUUCCACUUGUUGGGGCCUAGGCCUGCCCUGGUUGCCACGUGGGCUGUAGCAGUUUCCUGCUGGCCUGGCUGUGUCUUUUAAAAGGGCCCAGCUGGAGUGAGCAUCACUGCCUGGGGAGCAGCUGAUGUUGCUGAGUAGAUGACAGAGGUCCUGCAGGGGCAGAUAUUGCUGAAAUGAAACACCUGUCCAACAGGAAAAGGUGCGUGUGCUGCGGGAAGGAACCCACAUGCCUGGGAUGUGAAGGUAGAGGUGGCUGGAUACCAGGGGUUGGCUAAGAGCUGAAAUCUUUGGGGAACAGAGAAGGUGUCAACCGCAGAGGCUGCUGUAGUAUCCUAGAGCCACAUGAGAGUGGCAGUGGGAUGGGAUCAGACCCUGUGGAGCAACCAGAGGGAGCCAGUGAAUUCCAGCAGGUGUUGCAGGACCACAGAAUGUGUUCUUGUAGAAAGAGUCCCCAACAGUGCCAUGUCCUGCAGGUUUGCUGCAAAGGGGCCCUUGUGCUAAGCUGGUUUCUAACCAUGAUUCUGAAAGGUUUAAGUUAGUAGCUCUUAUAGGGAAAAGCUGAUGUUUAUCAGAUAAAGGAGCAUGCUGCCGUAUGGUUUUGUACUGCAGAUGCAUGUCCAUGAUUGCAAUGGCUGACAGGGCCCAGUGUGGUAGUGGAGCAGGAGCUGCUCAUUCAGAAUGGCUCAGACUGGAGCCUGCCCUGCCUGGAGCAGAGCUCCUGUGAGAUCCCAGCAGCCUGAAUUCCCAGCUGGCCUCACACAGACACUGGGGCCAUCCUCUUCCAGGCCUCUGUGGAGUAUUUCAGGUUGCAAACAGCCCUGAGGUUUCCAUAUCCUGUGGGAUGUGCUGAGGGAUCGCUCCUUUGGUACCUGGCAGGAGAACAGCCACUGAAGCACAAACCAGCAGUGCCACAUCAACUUUUGUCCAAGGGUUAAGUGCCAAAAUAGGGAAGUGGAAGCUGCAUAAUUUUAUAAAUCCUGCUUUGUUGUCAAAGACCAAAUACUUCCUGUUUGGGGAUGCAGGGCUGUUUCCAUUUCCAUUGUAAAUGGUGAGGGACUGCCCAUAAACCUCACAUUUACUUCACUAUUUCUGAUGCUUUCUACAUGUGCUGAAACAACUUCCAGGUGGCCAUGACAUUUUGUCAAAAAUAGAGAUGGCAGUUGGGAAAGGAAAAGUAGUUUAAUGUCAGCCUAAUUUAAAAAGCAUUUUCUUUAUUGGAGUUAAAAAGAGUUGAGUACAUCACCAGUGUUGCACAUUUGUUGUAGAAAUUCUAUUUUUGUUACAAAUCAACUGAGAUUUCAGUGUUUUCA